RNAcentral lists this ribosomal RNA (501 nucleotides) under uncultured bacterium. RNAcentral's name for it is "partial 16S ribosomal RNA". It matches the Rfam family "Bacterial small subunit ribosomal RNA", at positions 30 to 523 of the family's 1533-position model. The record is from RNAcentral.
AUUGAACGCUGGCGGCAGGCUUAACACAUGCAAGUCGAGCGGGGGAAGGUAGCUUGCUACUGGACCUAGCGGCGGACGGGUGAGUAAUGCUUAGGAAUCUGCCUAUUAGUGGGGGACAACAUCUCGAAAGGGAUGCUAAUACCGCAUACGUCCUACGGGAGAAAGCAGGGGAUCUUCGGACCUUGCGCUAAUAGAUGAGCCUAAGUCGGAUUAGCUAGUUGGUGGGGUAAAGGCCUACCAGGGCGACGAUCUGUAGCGGGUCUGAGAGGAUGAUCCGCCACACUGGGACUUAGACACGGCCCAGACUCCUACGGGAGGCAGCAGUGGGGAGUAUUGGACAAUGGGGGGAACCCUGAUCCAGCCAUGCCGCGUGUGUGAAGAAGGCCUUAUGGUUGUAAAGCACUUUAAGCGAGGAGGAGGCUACUUUAGUUAAUACCUAGAGAUAGUGGACGUUACUCGCAGAAUAAGCACCGGUUAACUCCGUGCCAGCCGCCGCGGUAA